This 288-nucleotide long non-coding RNA is filed under the name Malus domestica (apple). Its description in RNAcentral is "long non-coding RNA (MDOM_LNC004099)". Lineage: Eukaryota; Viridiplantae; Streptophyta; Magnoliopsida; Rosales; Rosaceae. The record is from RNAcentral.
GUAUAACUUUGCAAUCCUUACAAGUUAUACGAUCCCCUUUCCUCAUUAGAAGAAAAUCUAUUUGUGUUUUUGACGACCCACUCUUGUAGGUGAUCACAUGUUCUUCUCUCUUCUUAAAGAAGGUGUUGGCUAAGAAGAGAUCAUAUGCCAUUACAAAAUCCAAGAUAGCUUCCCCAUCCUCGUUUCUCUCCCUAAAACCAUGGCCACCAUGAAAACCUCCAUAGUUGCAUGUCUCCCUGCCCACGUGUCCAUUUAAAUCUCCUCCUAUAAAUAACUUCUCCGUCUGAG